This 547-nucleotide ribosomal RNA is filed under the name Trichoderma atroviride. RNAcentral's name for it is "eukaryotic LSU rRNA". The stretch from base 186 to 339 matches the Rfam family "5.8S ribosomal RNA". Lineage: Eukaryota; Fungi; Ascomycota; Sordariomycetes; Hypocreales; Hypocreaceae. The record is from RNAcentral.
CCGAGUUUACAACUCCCAAACCCAAUGUGAACCAUACCAAACUGUUGCCUCGGCGGGGUCACGCCCCGGGUGCGUCGCAGCCCCGGAACCAGGCGCCCGCCGGAGGGACCAACCAAACUCUUUUCUGUAGUCCCCUCGCGGACGUUAUUUCUUACAGCUCUGAGCAAAAAUUCAAAAUGAAUCAAAACUUUCAACAACGGAUCUCUUGGUUCUGGCAUCGAUGAAGAACGCAGCGAAAUGCGAUAAGUAAUGUGAAUUGCAGAAUUCAGUGAAUCAUCGAAUCUUUGAACGCACAUUGCGCCCGCCAGUAUUCUGGCGGGCAUGCCUGUCCGAGCGUCAUUUCAACCCUCGAACCCCUCCGGGGGGUCGGCGUUGGGGACCUCGGGAGCCCCUAAGACGGGAUCCCGGCCCCGAAAUACAGUGGCGGUCUCGCCGCAGCCUCUCCUGCGCAGUAGUUUGCACAACUCGCACCGGGAGCGCGGCGCGUCCACGUCCGUAAAACACCCAACUUCUGAAAUGUGACCUCGAUCAGUAGAAACCCCCCCCC